GAGUUUGAUCAUGGCUCAGAUUGAACGCUGGCGGCAGGCUUAACACAUGCGAGUCGAGCGGGGGAGGUUGCUUCGGUAACUGACCUAGCGGCGGACGGGUGAGUAAUACUUAGGAAUCUGCCUAUUAAUGGGGGACAACAUCUCGAAAGGGAUGCUAAUACCGCAUACGCCCUACGGGGGAAAGCAGGGGAUCACUUGUGACCUUGCGUUAAUAGAUGAGCCUAAGUCGGAUUAGCUAGUUGGUGGGGUAAAGGCCUACCAAGGCGACGAUCUGUAGCGGGUCUGAGAGGAUGAUCCGCCACACUGGGACUGAGACACGGCCCAGACUCCUACGGGAGGCAGCAGUGGGGAAUAUUGGACAAUGGGGGGAACCCGUGAUCCAGCCAUGCCGCGUGUGUGAAGAAGGCCUUAUGGUUGUAAAGCACUUUAAGCGAGGAGGAGGCUCUUCUAGUUAAUACCUAGGAUGAGUGGACGUUACUCGCAGAAUAAGCACCGGCUAACUCUGUGCCAGCCGCCGCCGU
This 521-nucleotide ribosomal RNA is filed under the name uncultured microorganism. Its description in RNAcentral is "bacterial SSU rRNA". It matches the Rfam family "Bacterial small subunit ribosomal RNA", at positions 9 to 521 of the family's 1533-position model. The record is from RNAcentral.